Long non-coding RNA from Lampris incognitus (smalleye Pacific opah), 2365 nucleotides. RefSeq lists it as uncharacterized. The transcript has 3 exons. The record is from RefSeq and is a predicted model, not a curated record. NCBI's taxonomy places the organism in Eukaryota, Metazoa, Chordata, Actinopteri, Lampriformes, Lampridae.
UAUCCACACAUGGAGGAAAUACAGUUGUCAACGUGUUGCUCGAGAUUGUACACCAACAAAGACCGAUGCUGAGAGAAAUCGAAUCUCUUCUGAUGCACAGCAUGAAACUGAAAUAGGGCAGAGUGCAAGGAGGCUGGUCAAAAGAGGAGGAUUGUUAUGACUGGGCGGACAAUGCUGAUUAUUGGCGCCAUGUAGAGGGACUACGUGGCAGAAUUAGAGACGGUUUCCUGGCCACCAUGAGAUGGGGGACAAUAAAGAGCUGUAGACAGCAGCCUGUAAAGACUGUGUCUGACUUUUUAGUCAGACCGACUAAAGUUUUCGGGGAAAACAGUGGUCUAGCACCACCAGCACCACUAAAUGAACGAGAUGACUCCCUGUAUGAACAACAGCUUAAGACCCGUUUCCUGGAAGAAAUUAGCCGUCAGGCGUGCGAACACUGUGUGGGCUGGGACAGCGGACGUUUGGCUGCUGUUCAAGAGCAUGCCCUCCACGUCGAAAACAAUAUGAAACUCUCCGAGACAAAAGCACAACGAGUCAAAGCUCGGUUGACUGACAAGCUUCAAAUGGCACGACUGGCACAGUUCCAGACUCAACAGAGCUCAAACAGAGGGAGAGGGAGAGGCAGACGCCAAGGGUGCGGCGGCCCCCCUCGGAGCAGAGGCCAAGCUCCGAGUAGAGGACCCCGCAAUGCAGGCCGUCGAAACGAGGGGUGUUGGAACUGUGGGGUCCCUGAUCAUUGGGCGAAAGACUGUACCGAACCAAGGAGGAGACAGGAACCCAUUGGAUACACACACGGUGUGUACGCCGAAGAUGAAGCGUGACUGGCAGCAGGGACAGGGAAGAUUCCGGAGUCUGGGUAAGACAUAUACGUGGACCAGGAUGGCACAAGGUUAUGUUGAGUCCCCAGCAGUCUACUCUCAGGUUUUGCAUGCAAGCCUGGAGGGCUUGGAUCUUCCAGCAGGGAGUGUGCUGAUACAAGUGGUGGGGCAGUGAAGAGAGAAAACGGGAGGAUUAUUAUUAUUGCAUCAGAUGGCUUGGUGGCCUGUCCAGGGUGUCUCCCCGCCUGCCGCCAAUGACUGCUGGGAUAGACUCCACUCCAGCAUCCCCGUGACCCCGAGAGCAGGAUAAGCGGUUUGGAUAAUGGAUGGGUGGAUUCUUCAUAAAUUUUAGAAUUAUGUUAUCCUCUUUCAAUGUUGUAUUCUGUAAAUUAUGUAAACACAUCAUCCAUUGCACGUUGUCUGUCUUGGGAGAUAGAGCCCUCCCUCUGUUGCGCUCCCUGAGGUUUCUUCCUGGGAGUUGUUCCUUAUGUGAGGGUCUAAGGACAAGAUGUUGUGUUGCUAUAAAGCCCCUUGAGGCAAAUUUGUAAUGUGUGAUAUUGGGCUAUACAAUAACAUUGACUUGACGAUUAAAAAUAAACUGCUGAGCGUCCGAGUAGCGUGGCGGUCUAUUUCGUUGCCCACCAACACGAGGAUUGGCGGUUGGAAUCCCCGUGUUACCUCGGUGUGCAGACAAAUGCUCACAAAUUGUUUUACAAUCUUUAUUUUUCAAAAAGUCAACUGAACAUUCUGUUGCAUGUCACAUAAGACAUAUCACAUAGGCCUGAGCAUGUGAGAGGGAUCACAUCUCCCUGACAAAUGAAAUGGUGAUCUUAAAGAUAAUCUUGAUAAUGACACUAUUAAUUACUGUUUGGUACUACAUAAUCUUAAUUAACCUUUAUUCAUGGAAAAAUAUUCCAUUGAACAGUCUGUUGCAUGUCACAGGAAAUAUCACAUAGGUCUAAGCAUGUAAUAGGGAUCACAGUGACCUAAUUAAGAGAUUUUAAAGCAGUGUCUACAGAGUCAUCGAACUACAAAGGAAAUCGAUUCCAUGUACAUAUUUUACUAGUGCAUUGGGUUUUGAAAGUAUUUGUACAUAUUUUCAUAAUUAAAUCGAUAUGUAAACAUACUUCAUAUUUGUAUAUCUGUAUACUAUUGUAAACUACUAAUAUGACACGUUAGCCCCCUAGCUAACGGGUCUAACCCUUUAGCCGAGCGGUUAGUGAUGUCGCCUUGUGGUGCGGUACACCCUGUAUCGAAUCCCGCACCGGGCAAGAAAAUAAUCAGUUACAUUGUCAUUUUUCGCUGUAAAUAUAGAUUAUAAAACAAUUUGGGAGCAUUUGUCUCUUUUUCUUUUAGUGUUGUGAGCAUUGGUCAUGGAAUCGUUACCUCUGGCUUGGUCGGGCGUCCCUACAGACACGACAGCCUGGGUGCGCAAGAUGGCGUCGUUCGGCUUCCGACGCACGAGCGCUUGCGAAGAACUUCCGGUCUGGUUUGUGUAGAGAAAAGAUGGCUUUGUUUUACACUCGCUGUUUGCAAGGGACCUCCCU